UGCGAGCGUGGCGGAAUUGGCAGACGCGCAGGACUUAGGAUCCUGUGGCCGCAAGGCCGUGAGGGUUCGACUCCCUCCGCUCGCAUUCA
RNAcentral lists this transfer RNA (89 nucleotides) under Persephonella marina EX-H1. Its description in RNAcentral is "tRNA-Leu". It matches the Rfam family "tRNA". Rfam says of the family: Transfer RNA (tRNA) molecules are approximately 80 nucleotides in length. The record is from RNAcentral. Lineage: Bacteria; Pseudomonadati; Aquificota; Aquificia; Aquificales; Hydrogenothermaceae.